Long non-coding RNA from Silurus meridionalis, 290 nucleotides. RefSeq lists it as uncharacterized. The transcript has 3 exons. NCBI's taxonomy places the organism in Eukaryota, Metazoa, Chordata, Actinopteri, Siluriformes, Siluridae. The record is from RefSeq and is a predicted model, not a curated record.
AAGCUGCUGAACUUCUGGCUCUUCUGGCUGUUCUUACUCCGGAACAACCCAAGUUGUUGAUGAGAAACCAUCCCAAGCUGCACAGAGUGGCCUCAAAUCGAAGAGAACACCAUCCAGAGGCAGGCCUGGACGAACUUGCUGUUGAGGUCAUGGGCCGGAUACAUGACCGAAUCUCAAGAAACCACUGACAGCUCAGCUUUGUGGCAUGUUUGGGCUCUGGGUUUCCUGUGAUGAGCUUCUCCAAUCUGAGGGAUGGAUCUCCCCAGCAUUGUCAAAGUUAAGCAUCACCU